This 321-nucleotide unclassified non-coding RNA is filed under the name Hevea brasiliensis (rubber tree). The record is from RNAcentral. Lineage: Eukaryota; Viridiplantae; Streptophyta; Magnoliopsida; Malpighiales; Euphorbiaceae.
GUUUCUAGUGAAGUACACAAUACUUGAAACACCACUUCCUUGUGGUUAACUCCAUUGGCUUGAUUCAAUUUAUGAUCUCUCUACUCAACACCACGAACUCCCAAUAAGAUGUGAAUCUUUGGAAAUUGACGCCAUAUAUCCAUUCUUAAUUGCUUUAUAACGUUCAUCUGCUCUUCAAUUGCUCAAUAAACAGUGUGUAACCCCUGAUCACUGUCACGAGGUUGAUUGCUACAGCCAUCACCAUCAUUGGCCAUCGUAAUGAGGGUAAAAUCUCUGUUUUGAUACCACUUGACGCAGUCUGUAGCGCGGAAAAGGAUUGAC